Molecule: RNase P RNA, 312 nt
Filed under: Flavobacteriaceae bacterium R38
Lineage: Bacteria; Pseudomonadati; Bacteroidota; Flavobacteriia; Flavobacteriales; Flavobacteriaceae
Description: Bacterial RNase P class A
Rfam family: Bacterial RNase P class A
About the family: Ribonuclease P (RNase P) is a ubiquitous endoribonuclease, found in archaea, bacteria and eukarya as well as chloroplasts and mitochondria.
Source: Rfam by way of RNAcentral
GUAGCAGGCUAUCUUAUCGCUUUAUACCUUGUAAUAGGGGAGAAGAGGAAAGUCCGGACACCAUAGAGCAGCAUAGCGGAUAACAUCCGUCAUCCCGAUAACUAUCGAGAUAGGACAAGUGCAACAGAAAGAAUGUACAGGUAAUGCUGUAGUGAAAUCAGGUAAACUCUAUGCGGUGCAACGCCAUGUAAACCAAUGCUUGAGAAUUGCUCGUUCAAUAUUGGAGGGUAGGCGGUUAGAAUUGCCAGGCAACUGGUAAUCCAGAUAAAUGAUAAGACUCGACAGAAUCCGGCUUACAGGCCUGCUUUUUUU